UACAGAGGUCUCAAGCGUUGUUCGGAUUCAUUGGGCGUAAAGGGUGCGUAGGCGGCGCGGUAAGUCGGAUAUGAAAUCUCGGAGCUUAACUUCGAAACUGCAUUCGAUACUGCCGUGCUUGAGGACUGGAGAGGAGACUGGAAUUUACGGUGUAGCGGUGAAAUGCGUAGAUAUCGUAAGGAAGACCAGUGGCGAAGGCGGGUCUCUGGACAGUUCCUGACGCUGAGACGCGAAAGCGUGGGGAGCAAACAGG
Molecule: ribosomal RNA, 253 nt
Filed under: uncultured bacterium
Lineage: Bacteria
Description: partial 16S ribosomal RNA
Rfam family: Bacterial small subunit ribosomal RNA
Source: RNAcentral